GAUGAACGCUGGCGGCGUGCCUAAUACAUGCAAGUCGAACGGAGAAUGUAGCAAUACGUUCUUAGUGGCGAACGGGUGAGUAACGCGUUGGUGACCUGCCCCGAAGUGUGGGAUAACAGUCCGAAAGGAUUGCUAAUACCGCAUGUGGUCAAUGGCAUUAGAAACGAUUGAUUAAAGCAGCAAUGCGCUUCGGGAGGGGCCUGCGUCCCAUCAGCUAGUUGGUAAGGUAACGGCUUACCAAGGCGAUGACGGGUAGGGGACCUGAGAGGGUGGCCCCCCACAAUGGAACUGAAACACGGUCCAUACACCUACGGGUGGCAG
This 321-nucleotide ribosomal RNA is filed under the name uncultured Chloroflexota bacterium. Its description in RNAcentral is "bacterial SSU rRNA". It matches the Rfam family "Bacterial small subunit ribosomal RNA", at positions 28 to 351 of the family's 1533-position model. Lineage: Bacteria; Bacillati; Chloroflexota. The record is from RNAcentral.